AGAGUUUGAUCCUGGCUCAGAUUGAACGCUGGCGGCGUGCCUAACACAUGCAAGUCGAGCGGUAACAGGUGUAGCAAUACAUGCUGACGAGCGGCGAACGGGUGAGUAAUGCUUUGGAAUCUUCCCAGUAGUGGGGAAUAACCAGUCGAAAGAUUGGCUAAUACCGCAUACGUCUGUAAAGGGAAAGCGGGGGCUCGUAAGACCUCGCGCUAUUGGAUGAGCCAAAGUCGGAUUAGCUAGUUGGUGGGGUAAUGGCCUACCAAGGCGACAAUCCGUAGCUGGUCUGAGAGGACGACCAGCCACACCGGAACUGAGACACGGUCCGGACUCCUACGGGAGGCAGCAGUGGGGAAUAUUGGACAAUGGGGGAAACCCUGAUCCAGCGACGCCGCGUGUGUGAAGAAGGCCUGCGGGUUGUAAAGCACUUUUAGUGGGGACAAAAAGCUACGGACUAAUACUCUGUGGUCUUGAUUUAACCCAAAGAAAAAGCACCGGCUAACUCUGUGCCAGCAGCCGCGGUAAUACAGAGGGUGCGAGCGUUAAUCGGAAUUACUGGGCGUAAAGCGCGCGUAGACGGUUUUGUAAGUCAGAUGUGAAAUCCCUGGGCUCAACCUGGGAACUGCAUUUGAGACUGCAUGGCUAGAGUAUCGAAGAGGGAAGUGGAAUUUCCGGUGUAGCGGUGAAAUGCGUAGAUAUCGGAAGGAACACCAGUGGCGAAAGCGACUUCCUGGUCGAAUACUGACGUUCAUGUGCGAAAGCGUGGGGAGCAAACAGGAUUAGAUACCCCAGUAGUCC
RNAcentral lists this ribosomal RNA (795 nucleotides) under uncultured bacterium. Its description in RNAcentral is "bacterial SSU rRNA". It matches the Rfam family "Bacterial small subunit ribosomal RNA", at positions 8 to 796 of the family's 1533-position model. The record is from RNAcentral.